Molecule: ribosomal RNA, 292 nt
Filed under: uncultured bacterium
Lineage: Bacteria
Description: partial 16S ribosomal RNA
Rfam family: Bacterial small subunit ribosomal RNA
Source: RNAcentral
GUGUCAGCAGCCGCGGUAAUACAGAGACCUCAAGCGUUAUCCGGAUUUAUUGGGCGUAAAGCGUCCGCAGGUGGUUCAUUAAGUCACUGGUCAAAUCUCCGGGCUCAACCCGGACACUGCCCGUGAUACUGAUGAGCUAGAGGCCGGUAGAGGUAAGCGGAAUUACAGGUGUAGCGGUAAAAUGCGUUUAUAUCUGUAAGAACACCAAAGGCGAAGGCAGCUUACUGGAACGGUCCUGACACUCAUGGACGAAAGCGUGGGGAGCGAAAAGGAUUAGAUACCCCUGUAGUCC